AACGCACAUUGCGCUUCCGGGCAACUGGGAGCAUGCUUGUUUCAGUGUCUGUAACACCCCUCAAACCCCACCCGGUUUGGAGUAUGGGCCCUCCGAGCGCAUGCGCUUGGUGGUCUGAGGUCACUGACCAGUAACCGUUGGUACACGACACGCUGUCAAGGCUUGACCGUGAGCUCCCCCUGUGGGUGACCGUGGACCCUGUGCGCUAACGUGCCUGGUGUGGUGGGUGGCUCUCGCAACCACCCCUCCGAAACACCCGUCGGGCGCCUCAACCCCGCCCUUCCGUAUCGGACCUGAAAUCAAGUAAGAAGACCCGCUGGACAUA
Molecule: unclassified non-coding RNA, 325 nt
Filed under: uncultured fungus
Lineage: Eukaryota; Fungi
Description: partial contains 5.8S rRNA and ITS2
Source: RNAcentral